GAUCAUGGCUCAGGAUGAACGCUAGCUACAGGCUUAACACAUGCAAGUCGAGGGGCAGCAUGGUCUUAGCUUGCUAAGGCCGAUGGCGACCGGCGCACGGGUGAGUAACACGUAUCCAACCUGCCGUCUACUCUUGGACAGCCUUCUGAAAGGAAGAUUAAUACAAGAUGGCAUCAUGAGUUCACAUGUAAUUAAGAUUAAAGAUUUAUCGGUGUACGAUGGGGA
Molecule: ribosomal RNA, 225 nt
Filed under: uncultured bacterium
Lineage: Bacteria
Description: partial 16S ribosomal RNA
Rfam family: Bacterial small subunit ribosomal RNA
Source: RNAcentral